Molecule: small RNA, 227 nt
Filed under: Jaculus jaculus (lesser Egyptian jerboa)
Lineage: Eukaryota; Metazoa; Chordata; Mammalia; Rodentia; Dipodidae
Description: 7SK RNA (ENSJJAG00000005436.1)
Rfam family: 7SK RNA (bases 1-138)
About the family: 7SK was discovered as an abundant small nuclear RNA in the mid-70s but a possible function has only recently been suggested. Two independent studies have found that 7SK RNA binds the CDK9/cyclin T complex (known as elongation factor P-TEFb).
Source: RNAcentral
GGGUUAGAAGAAUCUGUCACCCCAUUUAUUGUCAGGGUUGAGUCAGAAUUGGCUGGCUGGGCAUGCGUCCUCAUUCUUCAUCACUGUUCCACGUACAUGCCUCCUGAAGUUGCAUGCUCAGUCAGUGAGGAGAGACCGUUCAAGUUAGCCACGCGUGUGCCUACUAGAACUAGUCUUCUUGAACAAGCUUCAGUGGCCCCAGCAGCAGUAGUCUCCUGCAGCUUGAA